AUCGUUGCGAUAGUAAUCCUGCUCAAUACGAGAGGAACCGCAGGUUCGGACAUUUGAUUCACGCACUCGGUCGAGCGGCCGGUAGUGCGAAGCUGCUAGACAACAAGGAGCAUAAUUGAACACACAAUAAGGAAAAGUUGUCGAUACUUUUGAAAAACUAUCGUAACUUUGCGAAAGAAAAUCAUGUGGGAAUCUAUCUCUCACUGUAAAGUGUAAAGCAUCCGCUUUGACUAUCCCCUUUCAAAACUAUCAGUUUUGUUUUUUCCGUCGAAGAUAUUUUUACAUCAUGUGGCGACUGACAAAAUAAGAGUACUUCUAUUCUGUAAAAACAUUAAAAUUGUCGAUAGUUUAAACUUUGUCAAAAUGUAAUGUGACUUUAUGAAGAAAGAUCA
RNAcentral lists this non-coding RNA (392 nucleotides) under Melipona quadrifasciata. RNAcentral's name for it is "Eukaryotic large subunit ribosomal RNA". It matches the Rfam family "Eukaryotic large subunit ribosomal RNA", at positions 3007 to 3401 of the family's 3401-position model. Lineage: Eukaryota; Metazoa; Arthropoda; Insecta; Hymenoptera; Apidae. The record is from Rfam by way of RNAcentral.